GCUGGAGCUCUUGACAAAGGCUUGUUGCAGGGAGCAACUUAAAGAGGCUUCUCUCCCCGCCCUCCUUCCCGGGACCGUAUACCAGAACUGCUCUGCGCUUGGUCAAGCCUGUCUUGCUGCCUGUCCUGGGGCAGCUCUGGCAUCGCACUGACCGCACCUGGCUGGGACAACGGUGGCUCGCCCUUCCUGACCUAUGCCGGCUUCACCCAUCUGAAUGGGCCCAGCUUUGGCUGAAGCCCGGGGGAGAUAACUUUGAGAAAUGGAAAUUCCAGAAAGUUGGGGAAAUAUUUUAACAAACAGUAGAAUCAGUUUGCAUUUGAGUUGCUGAGAAAUGGGGAAGUUGACUUUCCUGGCCAUGGGAGUUCGCGGAGUGAUAUCACCAAGAGAACUUAGAGAGCGGGUCCAAGUUGUCUAAGGCGCGAUCUUAGGAAUGGAAAACAACGAUGCGGUCGGUUGGAAAGGGUCAUAAAUAAACCCCAGUGGGCAGUCCUAACAAGCACAGCCUCAGCAGUGAAGGAAGUUGAAAACACAACCGCCCAACUGCAAGCAGCCAGCCCGUCGCUGGAGGAGAGAGAGGAGCCAGGAUUCCCGAUUCCCAGUCUAGUUCUCAUUUUAUAAACUUGAUCCUAUGUCAUAUGAGUCAACC
This 646-nucleotide long non-coding RNA is filed under the name Equus caballus (horse). RNAcentral describes it as "lncRNA (ENSECAG00000056546.1)". Lineage: Eukaryota; Metazoa; Chordata; Mammalia; Perissodactyla; Equidae. The record is from RNAcentral.